CGAACAACUACAGUGAACAGUGAUUUAACGACUUUAGCGACUUGUUUUGCAUCUCAAAUGGCAAAUAACAUGUCAGCUGUGUUUUUUACUCGAGUUAAUUUGAUUAAGCCUGUAUUUGUCAACGAUAAUCAUCAAAGUGACACAAUGGCUUCUCCUACACCUCCUACCGUAAUGAGAAGCCCAACAGAAAACCCAGAGAAAAGGAGGAAAGGGAAUAAAGCUUCUGCUUUCUUUAAGAGAGCAUGGAAGGCUGUAAAGCGCCCUUUCCUUUGCUGUGACUGGAACAGAGUGGUUUCCUUUGAACCACAGUCGGAUAUCGAUGAUUUCGAGCAUCUGCCUGUUUCAGGUCCCUCCAGGACCGUCACAGCACAUGCGGACCCUAAGCCGGUGUGGCUGCCAGGCCAGGUCUGUGAAGAACCUCAGCCGUUGAGUGUUCCGGGCCCCUUCAGCAUCAAGCAAACAGCAGAUGUGCCAAAUGCAGAUCCGGCCCGUCCAGAGUCCUCAACGGCCCUCACAGAUCAUGUUGACCCUGAGCAGAUAUCCGGCCCGUCCUGAGUCCUCAACGGCCAAGACAGGUCAUGUUGAUACUGAGCUGGUGUGUCUACCAGGCCAGAUCUGGGAAGAUCCUCAGCCAAUCAGUGUCCAUGGCCUCACCAAUAUUAAGAACAUGACGGAUGCAGAUUCGGCCUGUCCUGAGUCGCCUCCGUCUGUUCAACACCCCUCUAAAAUUGAUGGGACUGAUGGUGAGUCAUCUUGAAUUUGGUUCAUUUUAUUUCUGCCAUCUAAAAACCCAAGAAAGGAAGGAAAGGGAAAAAAGUCUCUGCUUUCUUUAAGAGAGUAUGGAAGGCUGCAACGCGCCUUUUCCUGUGCUGUGACACAGAUAUAGUCCAGCAAUUUACGCCACAACCAGAGCUGGAGGAAGCAAACCCUGAGGCAGUAUGUCUGCCAGGCCAGGUUCCUGAGGAGCCUAAAGAGGCUUCUGGACCCACUCGUGGAUUUGAUUUGUCUGAUUUUGAAGUAGGAGCCGUGAUUGGAGAAGGAGCUUUUGGCCAGGUGUUUGUGGCAUCUCACAAACUUCGUAAAAGUGAAAAGGUUGCCCUGAAGUUUAUCAACAAGAAUGAAGACGACCGUUAUCUUGACAUUGAUGGUCAUUCCACACCUGUGCUUGCGGAAGUGGCAAUGAUGCUUAAGUUGAUGAAUGCUCCGCAAUGUCCAAACAUCAUCGGAUUACACGACUGGGUUGAGUAUGAGAACAACUUCAUUCUCAGUCUGGAGUACGCAGAGUCAUGCCAGACCUUGGAUCAGUACAUCAACGAUACAGUGGACGUUGGUGAAAAGCGAGCACGCCAGUUAAUGUGUCAGUUGAUCCAAGCUGUAAAGUUCUGCACUGAGCGUGGAGUUUUCCAUGGAGAUAUCCACACGGAGAACAUCCUGGUGACUCAACCCCGAUUACAGCUCAAAUUGAUCGACUUUGGUUGUGCUUGGCCAAUUACCAGCGAGCCUUUCAACAGCGAUGAUUAUCGAGGAGCUAUUAUAUGCACGCCACCUGAGAUUUUCAUGGGCCCCAUAUUCCAUGCUGACCCAGUAAACGUCUGGACAAUUGGCAUCGUGCUGUAUGAAAUAUUGCAUGCAGAUUUGCCCUUUGAUGACGAAGAUUCAAUAAUGUUUCAAUCCGCUGAGAUACGCCCCAGGUUAUCUACAGAAUGCCAGGACAUGAUUUCCCAGUGUUUCAUCCGUAAUCCAGUUAACCGGCUAAAGUUACAUGAGGUAGAAGAGCACCAGUGGAUCAAUCCAAAGACCCCAAAUCCUGUGCUGCAGUUAGAAAAGAUGAGAAAACACUAAAGAAGCGAGAAAGGAGAGCAGCAUUUCCAGAAAUUUCACAAGACUAUUAAAGUUAUUAAUUACUCCCUCAUGUCAUUCCAAACCCCUAAGACCUUACUUUUCUUCAGUGUCAGUUCAUGACGUGUGUUGAUGAGAGCUCUGUCCUGCACUGUAUAUGUGCCCACGCUUUGUUUAAAUGAGAGGAAGUCGCGCAGGCCUCUGGGUUAAACGUCAGCAGUGCGACACACAUACAGUGCACUGGGCUCUUCUGAACAUGCGGUUUGAGGGUCAGAGAGCUCUCAGAUUUCAUCUCAAAUGUUUUAAUUUCUGUUCUCAAUAUGAACUAAACAUGAAUAUGAACUAAGGACAUGAGCUGAGUAAUUAAUGACAAUAAUGGUAAUGAAUGGUGCCUAGACCGCAGCUCUGCACAAGACCUUUGGCCACAGGAGAAAUGGUCGUGCCCAACCGAGCCUGGUUUCUCUCGAGGUUUUUUUCCUUCACUUUUGUCAAAUGGUGAAGUUUUGUUCCUCGCCACUGUCGCCGCUGGCUUGCUUGGUUGGGACUUGUGGAGCUGCGCAUCGAUGGAUUUGCUCUUCAGUGUUUGGACUUUCAGCAGUGACAAUUAAACUACACUGAACUGAACUGAACUUCAACUGUGAAAACUGGACUGACACAGUUUCAAUUUACUUCUAUGUUAGGCUGCUUUGACACAAUUCACAUUGUAAAAGCGCUAUAGAAAUGAAGAUGAAUUGAACUGAAUUAAAGAUGAAACUCCAUCAGGAAAUCCAGUGCUGUCAGUUUUCUCCUCUAAAGUGUCAUCAAAGAUCUGCUCAACUAUUUUCUACCUCAUAAAUGAAUCUGGUGUUCUGUCAUAAGAGAGACUGAUUGUUUUAUAAUUAAGUGUUCAUGAUUGUUUCGUAAUGAAUUGUUCUUUGAAUUGUUUUGUGAUGAAUUGCUUUUAUAUAUUGUUAAAAAUUCAGAUAAAACCCUGUGAAUCAAA
RNAcentral lists this long non-coding RNA (2821 nucleotides) under Danio rerio (zebrafish). Its description in RNAcentral is "lncRNA si:ch211-202n12.3 (ENSDARG00000094127.4)". Lineage: Eukaryota; Metazoa; Chordata; Actinopteri; Cypriniformes; Danionidae. The record is from RNAcentral.